Molecule: non-coding RNA, 426 nt
Organism: Odocoileus virginianus texanus
Lineage: Eukaryota; Metazoa; Chordata; Mammalia; Artiodactyla; Cervidae
Source: RefSeq, a predicted model, not a curated record
UCUCCUCUACUAGGAUCCUUUGGGUCUUGUUCAUCAUCUGUGAUGCUCUGAAUGCCAGUUUUGACCAAGUCUCCCCAGAUAGUCAAGAAUUCCUUGGGGCUGAUACACCUAGAAACAGCUGCAGUGGGGCAAGAAAUUAGAGCAUGGACUCCAGCGUGCACGGUGAUGAUCCUGGCUUACUUACCUGAUUCCCGUUCCUGGAGGGGAGGCCUCAUGGGAGGCAGGAGCAUCAGAGUGUCAGGGGGAAUGGAGGCAGCUGACCUCCACUCAGAGGGAAGUCUGCCUGAAUUGAGAAGUCAAGGCAUGGUCUGGGGCCAGGAGUUCUGUGAAACACGCCAUUGCUUUCUGAUCUAUCUCUGUGUGAGCCCGCCUACUGCUUCUUCCAAAGAAAAGGUAACCCGAAUGAGAUCUCAGUCCUCAAAUGGA